RNAcentral lists this transfer RNA (54 nucleotides) under Plectus acuminatus. RNAcentral's name for it is "tRNA-Ser". Lineage: Eukaryota; Metazoa; Nematoda; Chromadorea; Plectida; Plectidae. The record is from RNAcentral.
CAAGUUGUUAGUAGUUAAUUUGAACUUAAUGAAAUGAAGAAAUUCACCUCUUGU